This 74-nucleotide transfer RNA is filed under the name Polytrichum commune. RNAcentral describes it as "tRNA-Pro". It matches the Rfam family "tRNA". From Rfam's summary of the family: Transfer RNA (tRNA) molecules are approximately 80 nucleotides in length. RNAcentral also lists the same sequence under 51 other names. The record is from RNAcentral. Lineage: Eukaryota; Viridiplantae; Streptophyta; Polytrichopsida; Polytrichales; Polytrichaceae.
CAAGGUGUAGCGCAGUCUGGUAGCGCAUCUGUUUUGGGUACAGAGGGUCAUAGGUUCAAAUCCUGUCACCUUGA